This 460-nucleotide ribosomal RNA is filed under the name uncultured bacterium. RNAcentral's name for it is "partial 16S ribosomal RNA". It matches the Rfam family "Bacterial small subunit ribosomal RNA", at positions 338 to 795 of the family's 1533-position model. The record is from RNAcentral.
CCUACGGGAGGCAGCAGUGAGGAAUAUUGGUCAAUGGACGAGAGUCUGAACCAGCCAAGUAGCGUGAAGGAUGACUGCCCUAUGGGUUGUAAACUUCUUUUAUAAAGGAAUAAAACGAGGCACCUGUGCCUUUUUGCAUGUACUUUAUGAAUAAGGAUCGGCUAACUCCGUGCCAGCAGCCGCGGUAAUACGGAGGAUCCGAGCGUUAUCCGGAUUUAUUGGGUUUAAAGGGAGCGUAGAUGGGUUGUUAAGUCAGUUGUGAAAGUUUGCGGCUCAACCGUAAAAUUGCAAUUGAUACUGGCAGUCUUGAGUACAGUUGAGGUAGGCGGAAUUCGUGGUGUAGCGGUGAAAUGCUGAGAGAUCACGAAGAACCCCGAUUGCGAAGGCAGCUUACGAAACUGUGACUGACAUUGAUGCUCGAAAGUGUGGGUAUCAAACAGGAUUAGAUACCCUUGUAGUC